RNAcentral lists this ribosomal RNA (497 nucleotides) under uncultured bacterium. RNAcentral describes it as "partial 16S ribosomal RNA". It matches the Rfam family "Bacterial small subunit ribosomal RNA", at positions 28 to 507 of the family's 1533-position model. The record is from RNAcentral.
GAUGAACGCUGGCGGCGUGCCUAAUACAUGCAAGUCGAGCGAACAGACGAGGAGCUUGCUUCUCUGACGUUAGCGGCGGACGGGUGAGUAACACGUGGAUAACCUACCUAUAAGACUGGGAUAACUUCGGGAAACCGGAGCUAAUACCGGAUAAUAUUUUGAACCGCAUGGUUCAAUAGUGAAAGACGGUUUUGCUGUCACUUAUAGAUGGAUCCGCGCUGCAUUAGCUAGUUGGUAAGGUAACGGCUUACCAAGGCGACGAUGCGUAGCCGACCUGAGAGGGUGAUCGGCCACACUGGAACUGAGACACGGUCCAGACUCCUACGGGAGGCAGCAGUAGGGAAUCUUCCGCAAUGGGCGAAAGCCUGACGGAGCAACGCCGCGUGAGUGAUGAAGGUCUUCGGAUCGUAAAACUCUGUUAUUAGGGAAGAACAAAUGUGUAAGUAACUAUGCACGUCUUGACGGUACCUAAUCAGAAAGCCACGGCUAACUACGUG